Molecule: ribosomal RNA, 446 nt
Filed under: uncultured bacterium
Lineage: Bacteria
Description: partial 16S ribosomal RNA
Rfam family: Bacterial small subunit ribosomal RNA
Source: RNAcentral
UGCCAGACUCCUACGGGAGGCAGCAGUGGGGGAUAUUGCACAAUGGGGGGAACCCUGAUGCAGCGACGCCGCGUGGGUGAAGAAGCGCCUCGGCGCGUAAAGCCCUGUCAGCAGGGAAGAAAAUGACGGUACCUGAAGAAGAAGCCCCGGCUAACUACGUGCCAGCAGCCGCGGUAAUACGUAGGGGGCAAGCGUUAUCCGGAUUUACUGGGUGUAAAGGGGGCGCAGACGGCGAUGCAAGCCAGGAGUGAAAGCCCGUGGCUUAACUACGGGACUGCUCUGGAAACUGUGCAGCUAGAGUGCAGGAGAGGCAGGCGGAAUUCCUAGUGUAGCGGUGAAAUGCGUAGAUAUUAGGAGGAACACCGGUGGCGAAGGCGGCCUGCUGGACUGUAACUGACGCUGAGGCACGAAAGUGUGGGGAGCAAACAGGAUUAGAUACCCGAGUA